CCUUGCUCCAUAUUUAAUUUUAAUUCUAAAGUCAUCUAAUUUCAUGGAAUCUUUGAAUUUGCAGUACGUUGAACUUUUAAAAAACUGUAAGUUAUUAAUUCUUCAUCAAGAGCACUGUGGUGGAAUAUCGUAGUUGAUUUCUUUUUCUUUCUUUUUUUUUAAUGCUUUCUUUGUGUGGGGGAGGUGUGAGAUUCACCAUGAUAGGCACUUUGCAGAAAAAAAAAGUGAUUACUCUUAUAUAUUUUGUUUUCUUGUUAAUACAAUGCCACUGAAUUUUUUAGCUAGGAUGUGUAUAUUCAUAUUAGAGUUACAAAUAAAGUAAAAUGUGAAUCCUCCCAAUUAAAGAAGAACUAUGAAAAAUAUAAGGCAAUGUUGUUCUUCCACAGUGACCUCCAGUAUUUUAAAUUUUUUGUGGAGAAAAAAAUGUUUUGCUUUCUUAAACCUCUUAACUAUAGCUUAAGUAGAGAGAUAUGAACAAUGUGGCAUUGACAUUUAUUUUUAAAUUCUGAGCAGAGAAAGAUUUUUAUUUCUUACAUUGAGUACAUUUAAUUUAGUUUUUAACAUUACAAUUCCAUUACAUGUUUUUUUUUAUUGUUGAUAUUCAUAUUGAUAAUGACAUCAUGAAAUUUAUCCUCACAAGAAGUAGCUGGUUUAUUUCCAGGUUACAGCCAUACUUCCCAAAGUUCCUCUGGGUUCUGAGAACUAUGCCAGCUCACCUGUCAUCUCCAUUCAUUUUCUACAGGACAGUCUCAUCGAACUCAAGGAAUCUUCAGCAAAGCUCUACAUUAAUCAUACUCCUCCACCACUGUCCAAGAGUAAGGAGAGAGAAAUGGACAAGAAAGAUUUGGACAAGUCAAGGGAAAGAUCCAGAGAAAGAGAGAAAAAAGAUGAAAAGGACAGGAAAGAGCGGAAAAGGGAUCACUCAAACAACGACCGUGAAGUGCCACCGGACUUAACCAAGAGACGUAAAGAGGAGAAUGGAACAAUGGGGGUUUCAAAACAUAAAAGUGAAA
RNAcentral lists this small RNA (1013 nucleotides) under Pan troglodytes (chimpanzee). Its description in RNAcentral is "retained intron". The record is from RNAcentral. Lineage: Eukaryota; Metazoa; Chordata; Mammalia; Primates; Hominidae.